CGCUGGCGGCAGGCCUAACACAUGCAAGUCGAGCGGUAACAGGGGUAGCUUGCUACCCGCUGACGAGCGGCGGACGGGUGAGUAAUGCAUAGGAAUCUACCCGGUAGUGGGGGAUAACCUGGGGAAACCCAGGCUAAUACCGCAUACGUCCUACGGGAGAAAGGGGGCUUUGGCUCCCGCUAUCGGAUGAGCCUAUGCCGGAUUAGCUGGUUGGUGAGGUAAUGGCUCACCAAGGCGACGAUCCGUAGCUGGUCUGAGAGGAUGAUCAGCCACAUCGGGACUGAGACACGGCCCGAACUCCUACGGGAGGCAGCAGUGGGGAAUAUUGGACAAUGGGCGCAAGCCUGAUCCAGCCAUGCCGCGUGUGUGAAGAAGGCCCUCGGGUUGUAAAGCACUUUCAGCGAGGAAGAACGCCUGUCGGUUAAUACCCGGCAGGAAAGACAUCACUCGCAGAAGAAGCACCGGCUAACUCCGUGCCAGCAGCCGCGGUAAUACGGAGGGUGCAAGCGUUAAUCGGAAUUACUGGGCGUAAAGCGCGCGUAGGUGGCUUGAUAAGCCGGUUGUGAAAGCCCCGGGCUCAACCUGGGAACGGCAUCCGGAACUGUCAGGCUAGAGUGCAGGAGAGGAAGGUAGAAUUCCCGGUGUAGCGGUGAAAUGCGUAGAGAUCGGGAGGAAUACCAGUGGCGAAGGCGGCCUUCUGGACUGACACUGACACUGAGGUGCGAAAGCGUGGGUAGCAAACAGGAUUAGAUACCCUGGUAGUCCACGCCGUAAACGAUGUCGACCAGCCGUUGGGUGCCUAGCGCACUUUGUGGCGAAGUUAACGCGAUAAGUCGACCGCCUGGGGAGUACGG
This 854-nucleotide ribosomal RNA is filed under the name Vreelandella gomseomensis. Its description in RNAcentral is "bacterial SSU rRNA". It matches the Rfam family "Bacterial small subunit ribosomal RNA", at positions 34 to 885 of the family's 1533-position model. Lineage: Bacteria; Pseudomonadati; Pseudomonadota; Gammaproteobacteria; Oceanospirillales; Halomonadaceae. The record is from RNAcentral.